This 77-nucleotide transfer RNA is filed under the name Mycoplasmataceae bacterium. RNAcentral describes it as "tRNA-Met". It matches the Rfam family "tRNA". From Rfam's summary of the family: Transfer RNA (tRNA) molecules are approximately 80 nucleotides in length. Their secondary structure includes four short double-helical elements and three loops (D, anti-codon, and T loops). Further hydrogen bonds mediate the characteristic L-shaped molecular structure. tRNAs have two regions of fundamental functional importance: the anti-codon, which is responsible for specific mRNA codon recognition, and the 3' end, to which the tRNAs corresponding amino acid is attached (by aminoacyl-tRNA synthetases). tRNAs cope with the degeneracy of the genetic code in two manners: having more than one tRNA (with a specific anti-codon) for a particular amino acid; and 'wobble' base-pairing, i.e. permitting non-standard base-pairing at the 3rd anti-codon position. The record is from RNAcentral. Lineage: Bacteria; Bacillati; Mycoplasmatota; Mollicutes; Mycoplasmatales; Mycoplasmataceae.
CGCGGAGUAGAGCAGCUUGGUAGCUCGUCAGGCUCAUAACCUGAAGGUCAUGGGUUCAAAUCCCAUCUCCGCAACCA